CCUACGGGGGGCAGCAGUGGGGGAUAUUGCACAAUGGGGGGAACCCUGAUGCAGCGACGCCGCGUGGGUGAAGGAGCGUUUCGGCGCGUAAAGCCCUAUCGGCAGGGAAGAAGAUGACGGUACCUGACCAAGAAGCCCCGGCUAACUACGUGCAAGGGGCCGCGGUAAUACGGAGGGGGCAGGCGUUAUCGGGAUUUACUGGUUGUAAGGGGGGCGCAGCCGGAAAUGCAAGCCGGGAGUGAAAGCCCGGGGCCAAACCCGGGAACUGCUCUUGGAACUGCAUGGCUGGAGUACAGAAGGGGCAGGCGGAAUUCCUGGUGUAGCGGUGAAAUGCGUAGAUAUUAGGCGGAACACCGGUUGCGAAGGCGGCCUGCUAGACCGUGACUGACGUUGAGGCCCGAAGGCGUGGGGAGCAAACAGGAUUAGAUACCCUUGUAGUC
RNAcentral lists this ribosomal RNA (440 nucleotides) under uncultured bacterium. Its description in RNAcentral is "partial 16S ribosomal RNA". It matches the Rfam family "Bacterial small subunit ribosomal RNA", at positions 338 to 795 of the family's 1533-position model. The record is from RNAcentral.